Long non-coding RNA from Sapajus apella (tufted capuchin), 4109 nucleotides. RefSeq lists it as uncharacterized. The transcript is spliced from 2 exons. The record is from RefSeq and is a predicted model, not a curated record. Lineage: Eukaryota; Metazoa; Chordata; Mammalia; Primates; Cebidae.
CUGACCUCAGGUGAUCUGCCCACCUCGGCCUCCCAAAGUGCUGGGAUUACAGGCAUGAGUCACUGUGCCUGGCCUUCUAGAAAAGUUUCUGAGGGAAGUGUGUGGGAAAAAGAUCUUUGUGGGAGAUGAUGGGGCCUUGCCUGUGUUAAAAAUCAUUCAUUCAGAAAAUGUUUGUUGAGGUCUUCUGAGUGCCCAGGCCAGUGCCAGGGCUUCAGAGGUGAGGAAUGCUACUUCGUGGGAGGUGAAAUGAGUACUUUGGGCUGAGGCAGGUCAAUGUUCUCAGCCACGUUCCUGGUUCCACCACAGGGUUAAGUUGCCAGAUCCAACCUGUCCUUCCAUGGAAGCAUCUAAGCCUUCAGGAUGCUCAGAGGCUCACGUAGAUCUCCUCACAAGUCCCCAGGCCAGGUGCUCCCCUGAAUUCCCUGACCUGCACAGUUGAGGGUUAAUGCUCUUGACAACCUCAAGGGUGGACAAGUAGGAAUCCAGGAGUCCCUGAAAGAGGUGGGCCUAGCACGAGGGACAGCCUCAGAAGGCCACAAGUACAAGGUCAAGAAAUCAGCAGUUGCUCAAGUCAGCAGAGGUGGUAGGAGUGUGUAUUGGAGGUGGUGAGUGAAAAAUCCUGUGUUAAAGAAAUGUGUUUUGUUUGGCUUAUAUCCCCAAAGCAUAGCACGGCGUCUGACAUGGGUAGGCAGAUAGUAAAUAAAAUGUGUUGUUUUGCAUUGAGUUAAAUUGAGUUGAGAUGGCCCUGGCCCACCCCUGGGUGCCAGGGCAGGGGGAGGAAGCUAGGAAAGUGCCUGGAGCUGAGGUGGUUCCCAUUAGUCCUCAUGAUUAAUUCACAGCCACACUGUGAUGGAGUGGGCUUGUCCCCAGUCAGCGCCUCCGCUGGGGCCCACCUGUUAGCGACAAACAAACAAAGAGGAUAAAUAAUGCAUUGGGAGCUGAGCCAGGCAAGGCGGUGGUAUUGAAAUUAAUAGGGAUUAGCUGAGCAGCUUGAGGAUGAAAUAUUUACCAGGUGGGACAGGGCUUAGGGAGGGCAUCCCCCCUUCCCAGAGUCCCUAGGCAUAGCUAGGCCCUUCUCCAGGGCAUCAUUGGCUAGGACUGGGGAGCCCCAGUACCACCACUGCCACCCUGGCUGCCUGGAUUUGCAGGACAGGCUGGCCAGACAAAUGAAAGCUCAGGUUCCAGCCAGUCUCCUGACACAGUGAAGUCCUGGAGAAACCAAGAUGCUAGAAGGGAACGGAGGUAGGGAAGGGGCUGAAACCUUCAGGGCUUUGGAAGCUAGAGACAAAGACCAUGACAGGGUUUCAGGGCCUGGACAUGUCAAGGCUUUGGGUGGCAAAUGUCAGGAGUAGGUUUGCCUGUGAUCUUACCCUUUUUUCUUUUCCUCUAGUCCUUCCUUUCUUCUUUUCAGUGUGUGUUUACUGAGGGUCUCUGUGUAUAACAUCUGUGCCCUCAAAGAGUUCAUGGUCUAGCACGAGGUGAGGGAGAGGCAGUUAAGAUACGUGAAGAAUUGGCUGCUGUGGGAGCACACAGAAGGGGUUUCUAACACAGAGGUGUGAUGGAGGGAAGGCACCUAGAGGAAGUGCUAGGAAGCCUCGGUUCUGAGAGGAGAGGGCAAUGAGCCAGGUGAGAAGUGGGGAGCAGUUUUCCAGGCAGAAGGCAUAGGACUUGAAAACCCAAGGGGCGAAUGAGCCUGAACUUGGCUGUAUAACGGGAAAAUGGGAAUGAUGAGACCAGAGAUGUAAAGAGGUCCAGAACCCAGACUUUUAUAAAGGGGUUUGAAUGCAGUGGGAGCUGAGUCAGGCAAGGUGGCAAUAUUGAACUUAAUAGGGAUUAGCUGAGCAGUCCUGAGAGCAGCGAGGAGCCACCGGAGGUGGUGCUGGUGGUGGUAGUUUUAAUUUUUGACUCUUAAACUUUUUACUUAGGAUUAAUUUUACAUUUGUAGGAAAGUUUCCAUGUAUCCCUCACCUGGCUUUCCCUCAUGUUAACAUCUUACUUAAUCACAAUACAAUUGUCAGUACCAGAAAAUUAACAUUGGUACUGUGCUACAUUAAAGGCCUUAUUAGGUCAGGUGUGGUGGUGCACACUUGUAAUCCCAGCUACUUGGGAGGCUGAGGCACCGGAAUUGCCUGAACCUGGGAGGCAGAAAUGCAGUGAACCGAGAUCGGACCACUGCACUCAAGUCUGGGCAACAGAGAAACCCUGUCUCAAAAAAAAAAAAACAACCUUAUUUUAAUUUCACUAAUGUCCUUUUUCUGCUCCAGGAUCAUUGAAGGGUUUUAAGACAGGGAGUGAAAUGACCAGAUUGGUGGUUUAAAAGGACACCAUGGAAGAAAGAUUGGCAGGGGAACUGCUGUUACCUAGAUGAGAGAUGAUGGCGGCCUGGACCAGGAUGGCGGUUAUAGGAAUAUGGGCUUAGAAAUUAUUGUAAAAUAUAUGGUAAUUAGACGCCCAAGAGUGACAAGUUUGCCCGAGGUGGGGGGUGGAGAGAGUGAGAAGGGAAGAGGACCAAUGGCAGCUCUGAGCAACACCCUUAUCUAAGACGUGGUCAGAAGAAAGGGAAUGUUCACAGGACCCAAGGAGAAUUGCAUGGAAAGUGACGGUGGGUCACUGAAGCCCAGGGAAGAGAGCUUCAAGGAGUGGACUGUUCACCAAUUGUCCAUCAAUCAAAACCUGAUAAGCUUCAUCCUCAUGAGUCAUAGGGAUCAUUAGAGAAAGCAGUGUUGGUAAAGCAGUGAUCAGAUUGCAAGGCAGGAGACAAGGAAAUAAGAUCUUGAGUGUAAACAACUCUGAAGUUCGCCUCUAAAAGGGAGGAGAGAUUGGGCACUAGCCAAAUGGAAAAGGGAGUUAAAGGGAGAUGUUUUUACUACCAAGAUGGAAGAGAGUUAAUAUAUUUACAUGCUUAUGUGAAGGAACCAGUGCAGAAGAAAAAAGUGAAGCUGUAUCAGAGGAAAUAGAAAUAAUCAAUAAUAUAAGGACCUUGAAAAGGCCUGGAUUUUGGGUUGGACCCUACCCAGGUGGAAUGGAAGGGAUGGGCUUAGAAAGUGACAUCAGGCUUGGCCCUCUCUUGUGACAAGAUGAGAGGACUGGAGCAGACUCAGGAGAGUGGCUUCUGUGUGGCUCCUGUGAAGUAGGAGAUAAGAUGGGUGAGGGGUUUGAGGUUAUGUUGAGGGUAGGGGAUUUGAGAUUUGUGGAACGUGGAGAAACUUGAAAUUGUUACUAGGGGUGAAGGGAAAGAGAGUACACACUGAUCAGGAACACUGAAGAUAGGCUGGGAAGUUUUAUAUACCAACUGAGGCUGAAGACUCUGAUUUUAUAAGUGGCACUAGUCUGUAUAGUUGUGAUUUUCUCUAGUGACAUGCUCCAGGUGGCAGGCACGGAGAAGGCAGAGUUUGGGUUUUUCCAGGCAAGGGUGACAAAGAAAAGGUAAUACGAGAGUUGAGGAUUGGCAAGAAAAAGACUGAAAUGAUGGACCAUGGAAUCGAGGCUCCAAAGGCAGACAUGUCAGUUAUGUUACUAGGACAGAAACUGUGACUUUUCCCUUCCUUUUCACUAAAUAGAACUCCUGUAUAAUUAUAGAACCCCUGUGUAAUAAUCUUUGUGUACCCAGUUAAAAGACUACUGUUUUAGUUUUCUAGACAGCUAGGUACAACCAUGUCUCUGAGCUCCAGCCAGUGAAACAAAAGGAAAUGUAUUAUCUGGGACUUCCAGGGAUGAUACUUAAAGGGGAACAACUCAGCUGGGAAAUACACUAGUCUUGCCUUUUCCCAUCUUCCCCCUUCCUUUCUCCUGGAAUGCAGAUUUGAUGGUUGGAGCUCCAGCAGCUAUUUUGGACUAAAAAAUAGUUUGAGGAUUGAAAACCAUGUGCUGAGAAUGGCAGGGCAGAAAGAAUUCUGAAGAGUCUGAUGCGUUUGUGGAACUGCAGGGCUUUUAGUCAACUUAUAUUGCAACCAUACUCAUAAAAUGCCUUUCUUAGUAAAGCUGUAUUUCUUCCCUCUCUGUUUUCACUUAGGUUUCAGUCUAAACUUGAUUCUUUUAGCCUUUUUUGUAACAUGGCCUGUGUCCUGAGAUACAGCAAGAAACAAUUUGAUCAAAUGUUUCAAGAGAGA